This 420-nucleotide ribosomal RNA is filed under the name uncultured bacterium. RNAcentral's name for it is "bacterial SSU rRNA". It matches the Rfam family "Bacterial small subunit ribosomal RNA", at positions 29 to 496 of the family's 1533-position model. The record is from RNAcentral.
AACGAACGCUGGCGGCAGGCCUAACACAUGCAAGUCGAACGCCCCGCAAGGGGAGUGGCAGACGGGUGAGUAACGCGUGGGAACGUACCCUUCGGUUCGGAAUAACCCGGGGGAAACUCGGGCUAAUACCGGAUACGUCCGCAAGGAGAAAGAUUUAUCGCCGAAGGAUCGGCCCGCGUCGGAUUAGCUAGUUGGUGGGGUAAUGGCCCACCAAGGCGACGAUCCGUAGCUGGUCUGAGAGGAUGAUCAGCCACACUGGGACUGAGACACGGCCCAGACUCCUACGGGAGGCAGCAGUGGGGAAUAUUGGACAAUGGGCGAAAGCCUGAUCCAGCCAUGCCGCGUGAGUGAAGGAGGCCUUAGGGUUGUAAAGCUCUUUCAGCGGGAAGAUAAUGACGGUACCCGCAGAAGAAGCCCCGG